RNAcentral lists this ribosomal RNA (497 nucleotides) under uncultured bacterium. RNAcentral describes it as "partial 16S ribosomal RNA". It matches the Rfam family "Bacterial small subunit ribosomal RNA", at positions 28 to 507 of the family's 1533-position model. The record is from RNAcentral.
GACGAACGCUGGCGGCGUGCCUAAUACAUGCAAGUAGAACGCUGAAGGAAGGAGCUUGCUCUUUCCGGAUGAGUUGCGAACGGGUGAGUAACGCGUAGGUAACCUGCCUGGUAGCGGGGGAUAACUAUUGGAAACGAUAGCUAAUACCGCAUAACAGCAGAUGUUGCAUGAUAUCUACUUAAAAGGUGCAAUUGCACCACUACCAGAUGGACCUGCGUUGUAUUAGCUAGUUGGUGAGGUAACGGCUCACCAAGGCGACGAUACAUAGCCGACCUGAGAGGGUGAUCAGCCAGACUGGGAGUGAGACACGGCACAGACUCCUACGGGAGGCAGCAGUAGGGAAUCUUCGGCAAUGGACGGAAGUCUGACCGAGAAACGCGGCGUGAGGGAAGAAGGUUUUCGGAUCGUAAAGCUCUGCUGUCAGAGAAGAACGCGUGUGAGAGUGGAAAGUUCACACUGUGACGGUAACUUACCAGAAAGGGACGGCUAACUACGUG